ACAGACCUGUAUUCACCAAAUGUUGAGCAAGAGGUGUGAAGACUUUCCAACACACAGCAAUGGAGGAGACGGACAUGACAUUACCUGACAUCGUAGCAAACCUGUCGCUUCCUAUUGAUCAUAAAAGAGUCAGCCGGUUCAACAUCUCGAGGGCUAAUGUUUGGGAUGGGGCAGUGACAGGUUUCAAGCGUACAACAUAUUCUGAAACCUGUGACAUGCUGGUCAAAUUUACUGAUGAUACUGGUGUUCUGGAAGAGGAAAUUGACACUGGUGGUCCAAGACGAGAGUUUUUAACUCUACUAAUGAAACACCUAAAAGACCGGCCCAUUUUUGAUGGUCGGUUUUUGGUCUACAAUGCAAAUGAUUGAGAAUGCUGCUUCAUUGGAUGCUCUGCAAAAAUGUAUGAUGAGACACAGCAUAAUGUUACAGACAGCAGGUUGUCUGAGACGUGGCUACUGUGGAAGAAAAAGAAAUCGUGUCAGACUACCUCCAAUGGUAUAUUAUUGACCGCAACUCAUCUGUAAUUGACAGGUAAGAUGAUAUUUGUAGUGAUGAGAUUUUCUUCUUUUUUAUGUAUUUAUGUAAGAAUUUUUAGUUUGAAAUGCCUCAUGGUCCCCAUCUUUGGUUUAUGCAAG
Molecule: long non-coding RNA, 635 nt
Organism: Sander lucioperca (pikeperch)
Lineage: Eukaryota; Metazoa; Chordata; Actinopteri; Perciformes; Percidae
Exons: 3
Source: RefSeq, a predicted model, not a curated record